GACGAACGCUGGCGGCGUGCCUAAUACAUGCCAGUUGAGCGAUGAAGCUUGGUGCUUGCACCAAUUUGAAGAGCAGCGAACGGGUGAGUAACGCGUGGGGAAUCUGCCUUUGAGCGGGGGACAACAUUUGGAAACGAAUGCUAAUACCGCAUAACAACUUUAAACAUAAGUUUUAAGUUUGAAAGAUGCAAUUGCAUCACUCAAAGAUGAUCCCGCGUUGUAUUAGCUAGUUGGUGAGGUAAAGGCUCACCAAGGCGAUGAUACAUAGCCGACCUGAGAGGGUGAUCGGCCACAUUGGGACUGAGACACGGCCCAAACGCCUACGGGAGGCAGCAGUAGGGAAUCGUCGGCAAUGGACGAAAGUCUGACCGAGCAACGCCGCGGGAGUGAAGAAGGGUGUCGGAUCGUAAAACUCGGUUGGUAGAGAAGAACGUUGGUGAGAGUGGAAAGCUCAUCAAGUGACGGUAACUACCCAGAAAGGGACGGCUAACUACGUG
Molecule: ribosomal RNA, 497 nt
Filed under: uncultured bacterium
Lineage: Bacteria
Description: partial 16S ribosomal RNA
Rfam family: Bacterial small subunit ribosomal RNA
Source: RNAcentral